This 468-nucleotide ribosomal RNA is filed under the name uncultured bacterium. Its description in RNAcentral is "partial 16S ribosomal RNA". It matches the Rfam family "Bacterial small subunit ribosomal RNA", at positions 28 to 507 of the family's 1533-position model. The record is from RNAcentral.
GACGAACGCUGGCGGCGUGCUUAACACAUGCAAGUCGAACGGGAAGGCCCUGCUUUUGUGGGGUGCUCGAGUGGCGAACGGGUGAGUAACACGUGAGUAACCUGCCCUUGACUUUGGGAUAACUUCAGGAAACUGGGGCUAAUACCGGAUAGGAGCUCCUGCUGCAUGGUGGGGGUUGGAAAGUUUCGGCGGUUGGGGAUGGACUCGCGGCUUAUCAGCUUGUUGGUGGGGUAGUGGCUUACCAAGGCUUUGACGGGUAGCCGGCCUGAGAGGGUGACCGGCCACAUUGGGACUGAGAUACGGCCCAGACUCCUACGGGAGGCAGCGGUGGGGAAUAUUGCACAAUGGGCGGAAGCCUGAUGCAGCAACGCCGCGUGCGGGAUGACGGCCUUCGGGUUGUAAACCGCUUUCGCCUGUGACGAAGCGUGAGUGACGGUAAUGGGUAAAGAAGCACCGGCUAACUACGUG